Long non-coding RNA from Solenopsis invicta (red fire ant), 1213 nucleotides. RefSeq lists it as uncharacterized. The record is from RefSeq and is a predicted model, not a curated record. The transcript has 6 exons. Lineage: Eukaryota; Metazoa; Arthropoda; Insecta; Hymenoptera; Formicidae.
GCAGCAUUCUAGUAAUUUACCUUGCGGAAUACCCAUUACUCCUCGAAAUCUCGGACAAAGAGAGAACUGACCAAUUGCGUUAGUCAGUAAGGCAAAUUGUUUCAAUGCUAAUGAUCCAUUCUUUCUCCGUCCGAGAUCUCGAAAAAGCUUUAAAAAGUGCUUAAAACAAUUACGCACGUGAAAUUUUGUUGCAGAGAUUCAAGCGCAAUGACUUCUGUAUUGCAAAAUAAAGAAGCAGAGACUAAGGCGAAGAGGCAGGCGAAAGCAACAUCAGGACAAAUAGAUUACAUGGUGGACUAUUUUGUGCAACAUCCAUACGUUGCAACAGGCAAGUUUCAGAGCCUACAUGAGAACCCCGAAGAGGGUCAUGGGAGCAAUUAGUCAAUUAAAUAGUAUGGGAAAAGAAGGAAAGACUAAAGAUGUAAAGUCAUGGAAAUCAACAUGGCGUGAUAAUAAAACUGCAAUUUUCAAAAAGAUUGCAAAAAUUCGUGCUAAUCGAAGUGUAACAGGGAAUGUUGGUGGUGCUCCUGACAAAUUGUUGACGGAACGAGAAAAAAAGAUUUUGGGUCUAAUGGGUCUUGAUUAUGUGGAAGGCGUACAAUGUCCCGAUUUAUUUCCAGAGAAACAGUGCUAGAUACUACUGGAGAACAUUUGGGAGAAGGGUCAACUCUUAAUAUUAUUCAAACUAAUUUACAAAUUAAAAAUAUGGAAACUGCAAAACAGCCACACCAUUGCAAAAUAACAGAAUCGCUGUCAGAUUUUCUAAUUAAUGAAGAUAUACUACAAUCGCUCAUGACUGUUACGCAGGGUUCUAGCAAAAAACGAAGAGGGGCGCAAAAUACAAGACAAAACACUGAACGUUGGGCACACAACUGCAGAAUGCCAGAGCAGAUUUUGCAACUCUAGCUGAGCGUCAAUUUUCAUGUAUGGAAAUGUUUGCUAAAGCAAUGCAACAAAUGGCAAAUAAUGAAAAGGAUCGAAAUGAAUGUCUGCGUGCUUUCAUAGAAGCAAAAAAUAGUAGAAAAAAAACAUAUUCCGAAUUAAUGAUAGUAGUAAAAAAUUUUGAAAAAUAAGUCUAAUCUUUAAUGUCCGUAUUUUAUUAUUUUUUGAAUUUUAUUCUUUUAUGUAUAUGUAGUUUAUUUCCUUGUUAUAUUCAAAGUUUAAAGACAAUAAGGUUUUUAGUUUAAGAACAAUAAAAUAAUUGUAUUGUUUG